GGAACGUUGGUCAAGUGGUUGAGGUUCUCGAUUGUGAAUCGAAGGACUCAGGUUCAAAUCCUAGAUGAUAUACG
RNAcentral lists this transfer RNA (74 nucleotides) under Perkinsus olseni. RNAcentral describes it as "tRNA-His". It matches the Rfam family "tRNA". From Rfam's summary of the family: Transfer RNA (tRNA) molecules are approximately 80 nucleotides in length. Their secondary structure includes four short double-helical elements and three loops (D, anti-codon, and T loops). Lineage: Eukaryota; Perkinsozoa; Perkinsida; Perkinsidae. The record is from RNAcentral.